RNAcentral lists this unclassified non-coding RNA (184 nucleotides) under Cephalotrichiella penicillata. RNAcentral's name for it is "partial internal transcribed spacer 2". Lineage: Eukaryota; Fungi; Ascomycota; Sordariomycetes; Microascales. The record is from RNAcentral.
CAGCCCUCGAGCCCCCGGCUCGGUGUUGGGGCACUGCGGAACGCCUCCCUGAGGACCCGCAGGCCCCGAAAUGUAGUGGCGGUCCCGCCGCGGCGUCCCCUGCGUAGUAGUGUCUAUUUUUAAACAGUCUCGCAUCGGUCCCCGGCAGCGACCAGCCGUCAAACCCCCCCUUCUUUUACAGAUG